AUGAGCUCUGUGCCUCUCAGAAAAAUAUCAGCCAACGCACCCUGGACAGCGACACGAUAGAAUAGCUCCUCUCCAAUUGAGCUAGCAGUUACAAUAAGAAUGAACUGCCAUGGUGACAUGCCAUAGAAGAAGCUGCGAAGCUCCUCAUCCUCGACAUCCCUGAUGGCGCGAGCAUGAGGUGAAUAUUUGACAACUUCAUCGUCGAGGAUAAAGAGCAAAG
RNAcentral lists this unclassified non-coding RNA (220 nucleotides) under Hevea brasiliensis (rubber tree). The record is from RNAcentral. Lineage: Eukaryota; Viridiplantae; Streptophyta; Magnoliopsida; Malpighiales; Euphorbiaceae.